GAACGAGUGGCGGACGGGUGAGUAACACGUGGGUAACCUGCCCUUAAGUGGGGGAUAACAUUUGGAAACAGAUGCUAAUACCGCAUAAAUCCAAGAACCGCAUGGUUCUUGGCUGAAAGAUGGCGUAAGCUAUCGCUUUUGGAUGGACCCGCGGCGUAUUAGCUAGUUGGUGAGGUAACGGCUCACCAAGGCAAUGAUACGUAGCCGAACUGAGAGGUUGAUCGGCCACAUUGGGACUGAGACACGGCCCAAACUCCUACGGGAGGCAGCAGUAGGGAAUCUUCCACAAUGGACGCAAGUCUGAUGGAGCAACGCCGCGUGAGUGAAGAAGGCUUUCGGGUCGUAAAACUCUGUUGUUGGAGAAGAAUGGUCGGCAGAGUAACUGUUGUCGGCGUGACGGUAUCCAACCAGAAAGCCACGGCUAACUACGUGCCAGCAGCCGCGGUAAUACGUAGGUGGCAAGCGUUAUCCGGAUUUAUUGGGCGUAAAGCGAGCGCAGGCGGUUUUUUAAGUCUGAUGUGAAAGCCCUCGGCUUAACCGAGGAAGUGCAUCGGAAACUGGGAAACUUGAGUGCAGAAGAGGACAGUGGAACUCCAUGUGUAGCGGUGAAAUGCGUAGAUAUAUGGAAGAACACCAGUGGCGAAGGCGGCUGUCUGGUCUGUAACUGACGCUGAGGCUCGAAAGCAUGGGUAGCGAACAGGAUUAGAUACCCUGGUAGUCCAUGCCGUAAACGAUGAAUGCUAGGUGUUGGAGGGUUUCCGCCCUUCAGUGCCGCAGCUAACGCAUUAAGCAUUCCGCCUGGGGAGUACGACCGCAAGGUUGAAACUCAAAGGAAUUGACGGGGGCCCGCACAAGCGGUGGAGCAUGUGGUUUAAUUCGAAGCAACGCGAAGAACCUUACCAGGUCUUGACAUCUUUUGAUCACCUGAGAGAUCAGGUUU
Molecule: ribosomal RNA, 940 nt
Filed under: Lacticaseibacillus rhamnosus
Lineage: Bacteria; Bacillati; Bacillota; Bacilli; Lactobacillales; Lactobacillaceae
Description: bacterial SSU rRNA
Rfam family: Bacterial small subunit ribosomal RNA
Source: RNAcentral